This 460-nucleotide ribosomal RNA is filed under the name uncultured bacterium. Its description in RNAcentral is "partial 16S ribosomal RNA". It matches the Rfam family "Bacterial small subunit ribosomal RNA", at positions 338 to 795 of the family's 1533-position model. The record is from RNAcentral.
CCUACGGGGGGCAGCAGUGAGGAAUAUUGGUCAAUGGACGAGAGUCUGAACCAGCCAAGUAGCGUGAAGGAUGAUUGCCCUAUGGGUUGUAAACUUCUUUUAUAUGGGAAUAAAACGUUCCACGUGUGGGAUUUUGUAUGUACCAUAUGAAUAAGGAUCGGCUAACUCCGUGCCAGCAGCCGCGGUAAUACGGAGGAUCCGAGCGUUAUCCGGAUUUAUUGGGUUUAAAGGGAGCGUAGGUGGAUUGUUAAGUCAGUUGUGAAAGUUUGCGGCUGAACCGUAAAAUUGCAGUUGAAACUGGCAGUCUUGAGUACAGUAGAGGUGGGCGGAAUUCGUGGUGUAGCGGUGAAAUGCUUAGAUAUCACGAAGAACUCCGAUUGCGAAGGCAGUUCACUGGACUGCAACUGACACUGAGGCUCGAAAGUGUGGGUAUCAAACAGGAUUAGAUACCCCUGUAGUC